GCUGAAGUUGUGAAGGUUGAUGCUGUGAAUGCGCUCGGUCAUCCCCUUGCAACUGAUGUCACCUGCAGCAUGUCAACGCAGACACAAAACAGGGCAUGGGUCAGAUCUAGCUGGUUGCAUUCCUAACACCUAGGUUUCAGAGUAAAAAUACAGAGUCAGCUUGUGAUGGCAUUCCCUCAAAACAUGGAAGGAAUUGCAGUAAUGAAAGUCAUCAUGUAUUCUAAGAGACUGUUCUGCGAGAGCACAACACAGACGGGGCUAAAGCAGGGACAACUCUCAUGCCAUCAAGCCGACGGACUUUCAAAAAAAUAAAAGAUGCAUUUCUUUACUUCUACGGUGAAAGGGCACCUAAGGUGAAUGGACAGAUUGUAGAUGGGUGCACACAGGAAAAUGUACAGCUCCUACAAUGUAUUCUGAGGGCCCAUGAGAAGUAAAAGCAGGCACUGGCAUUCUGCACAGAUGAAAUACUUCCUACGACAGGAAUACAUGCUCACUUGUGGACUUCUCUGUAAUCUGUAGGCAACAUCAGCUCCUGAUUUCUAGGUCUGGAUCUGGGUUCUCUGUAGCACAGGAAGCAUAGUUACUCUGUGAUGAAGAAAAACUCAGAAAACUAUCCAGAUGUGGGAAUUUCUCGGGUAUUCCUUGCACUUGAACUUAAGGAUGAAUGAAGGUAUAUACAAGUCUCUACUUCUCCUACAUAAAUGCCUUGCAUGGCGGGAACUAAAUCAACUACACAGACCCAUACAUCCAGAGAGCAGAGGUGAGCUGGAUACAAGUGGCUUAGAGAUGUGGUGGAAGGAGGCCAGAGCUCCAAGGGAAGGGCAGCAAGGAGACAACAGCAUGGGUUGCAGCUCAGACAACAGGUAAAUAAAACCAAGCAAAGCUGCUGGUCACAGAUUUGACCAGGGUGGCAAGAAAUGACAAGCUACCAUGAGAUUCAACAGUGGCACGGAAGGAUGAUGAGAAGCAAACAGAUUAGGAGAAGCUGCCACCACCGUACAUAGAGGCACAGAUGACCAAGCAGAACAGCACCAGUCCCUGCAAGGUGUGCUCAGAUACAGCUCAGCACAGCCAUCUGGCCAGGAGGGAAUGAUAAUGCACAUGGUGUGCACUGCAGCCGGGAAGUUGAGAACCGCUGUGGGCACCUCAGGACUGAGUCUGGUUACCCUGCUGAUCCAAGAAAUGAAGCCAUCUAAAAUUUUGCCUGCUUUCACAA
This is a long non-coding RNA of Homo sapiens (human), 1216 nucleotides long. Ensembl annotates it as ZBTB20 antisense RNA 1. Its record names the gene ZBTB20-AS1. NCBI's taxonomy places the organism in Eukaryota, Metazoa, Chordata, Mammalia, Primates, Hominidae. The record is from Ensembl.